This 253-nucleotide ribosomal RNA is filed under the name uncultured bacterium. RNAcentral describes it as "partial 16S ribosomal RNA". It matches the Rfam family "Bacterial small subunit ribosomal RNA", at positions 524 to 776 of the family's 1533-position model. The record is from RNAcentral.
AACGUAGGAGGCGAGCGUUAUCCGGAUUUACUGGGCGUAAAGGGCUCGUAGGUGGCCAACUAAGUCAGACGUGAAAUCCCUCGGCUUAACCGGGGAACUGCGUCUGAUACUGGAUGGCUUGAGUUUGGGAGAGGGAUGCGGAAUUCCAGGUGUAGCGGUGAAAUGCGUAGAUAUCUGGAGGAACACCGGUGGCGAAGGCGGCAUCCUGGACCAACACUGACACUGAGGAGCGAAAGCCAGGGGAGCAAACGGG